GACGAACGCUGGCGGCGUGCUUAACACAUGCAAGUCGAACGGGCUCUGUCUGGCUGUGUGCUGGGUGGGGUUAGUGGCGAACGGGUGAGUAAUACGUGAGUAACCUGCCCUCUUCUUUGGGAUAAGCCUUGGAAACGGGGUCUAAUACUGGAUAUUCCUGUCUGGUCGCAUGGCUGGGUGGGGAAAGUUUUUUUCGGUGGGGGAUGGGCUCGCGGCCUAUCAGCUUGUUGGUGGGGUGAUGGUCUACCAAGGCGUCGACGGGUAGCCGGCCUGAGAGGGUGACCGGCCACACUGGGACUGAGAUACGGCCCAGACUCCUACGGGAGGCAGCAGUGGGGGAUAUUGCACAAUGGGCGCAAGCCUGAUGCAGCGACGCCGCGUGGGGGAUGACGGCUUUCGGGUUGUAAACCUCUUUCGUCGGGGGACAAGGCUCUGCUUGGUGGUGGGGUUGAGGGUACCCGGUGAAGAAGCGCCGGCUAACUACGUG
RNAcentral lists this ribosomal RNA (487 nucleotides) under uncultured bacterium. RNAcentral's name for it is "partial 16S ribosomal RNA". It matches the Rfam family "Bacterial small subunit ribosomal RNA", at positions 28 to 507 of the family's 1533-position model. The record is from RNAcentral.